UACGGGGGGAGCGAGCGUUGUUCGGAAUUACUGGGCGUAAAGGGCGUCUAGGCGGGUCGGUCAGUCAGAAGUGAAAACUCCCGGCUUAACUGGGAGCCUGCUUUUGAAACUGCCGGUCUUGAGUGUGGAAGAGGUGCGGGGAAUUCUCAGUGUAGCGGUGAAAUGCGUAGAUAUUGGGAAGAAUGCCGGUGGCGAAGGCGCCGCACUGGUCUAACACUGACGCUGAAGCGCGAAAGCGUGGGGAGCAAACAGG
This 253-nucleotide ribosomal RNA is filed under the name uncultured prokaryote. Its description in RNAcentral is "partial 16S ribosomal RNA". It matches the Rfam family "Bacterial small subunit ribosomal RNA", at positions 524 to 776 of the family's 1533-position model. The record is from RNAcentral.